AGGAUGAACGCUGGCGGCGUGCCUAAGACAUGCAAGUCGAGUGGGUUUAGACCCACGGCGAACGGGUGAGUAAUACCUAGGAACUUUCUUUAAGUGGAGCAUAACCCAUAGAAAUGUGGGACAAUUCUCCAUGUGAUAGUAAUAUCAAAGCAGCAAUGCGCUUAAAGUGAGGCCUGGGCACCAUCAGCUAGUUGGCAGGGUAAUGGCCUACCAAGACUGUGAUCGAUA
This 228-nucleotide ribosomal RNA is filed under the name uncultured bacterium. RNAcentral describes it as "partial small subunit ribosomal RNA". It matches the Rfam family "Bacterial small subunit ribosomal RNA", at positions 26 to 285 of the family's 1533-position model. The record is from RNAcentral.